Molecule: ribosomal RNA, 487 nt
Filed under: uncultured soil bacterium
Lineage: Bacteria
Description: bacterial SSU rRNA
Rfam family: Bacterial small subunit ribosomal RNA
Source: RNAcentral
AGAUUGAACGCUGGCGGCAGGCCUAACACAUGCAAGUCGAGCGGCAGCACGGGUACUUGUACCUGGUGGCGAGCGGCGGACGGGUGAGUAAUGCCUAGGAAUCUGCCUGGUAGUGGGGGAUAACGCUCGGAAACGGACGCUAAUACCGCAUACGUCCUACGGGAGAAAGCAGGGGACCUUCGGGCCUUGCGCUAUCAGAUGAGCCUAGGUCGGAUUAGCUAGUUGGUGAGGUAAUGGCUCACCAAGGCGACGAUCCGUAACUGGUCUGAGAGGAUGAUCAGUCACACUGGAACUGAGACACGGUCCAGACUCCUACGGGAGCAGCAGUGGGAAUAUUGGACAAUGGGCGAAAGCCUGAUCCAGCCAUGCCGCGUGUGUGAAGAAGGUCUUCGGAUUGUAAAGCAACUUUAAGUUGGAAGGAAGGCAGUUACCUAAUACGUAUCUGUUUUGACGUUACCGACAGAAUAAGCUACCGGCUAACUCUGUG